Molecule: long non-coding RNA, 327 nt
Organism: Solanum verrucosum
Lineage: Eukaryota; Viridiplantae; Streptophyta; Magnoliopsida; Solanales; Solanaceae
Exons: 2
Source: RefSeq, a predicted model, not a curated record
CUUGAAGAACAAUUAAUGGAUAGAGAGGAAGAGAAAGGUGAUGAGAAACUAAGAGAAACGUUUCUAGUAGAGCUGAAUCUUGUUCUUGUUCUCUCAUUUUUUUCGUUAUCAUCUGAAGAACGAAAAUUAGAGGAAUUUGAGAUCGAUAAUAAUAAAGAUCAUCAAGAACACAACAUUAUUUCUAAAGUUAAUUCCAAGAAACGCGGAGGAAUCAAUAAAUAUAGAGCUACUGAACAUGAAUUUCCCAGGUUUCAAACCAAGAUUAAGGAUUGCAGACACUGCAGAAGAAUGUGAAGAAUAACAUCUUUGUGGAAAAGCAAGCAAAAA